UACGUAGGGGGCAAGCGUUAUCCGGAUUUACUGGGUGUAAAGGGAGCGUAGACGGCAGGGCAAGUCUGGAGUGAAAGCCCGGGGCCCAACCCCGGGACUGCUUUGGAAACUGCCAUGCUGGAGUGCUGGAGAGGUAAGCGGAAUUCCUGGUGUAGCGGUGAAAUGCUUAGAUAUCAGGAGGAACAUCGGUGGCGUAAGCGCUUUACUGGGCCGUAAUUGACGCUGAGGAACGAAAGCCAGGGUAGCAAAUGGG
This 253-nucleotide ribosomal RNA is filed under the name uncultured Eubacteriales bacterium. Its description in RNAcentral is "uncultured Clostridiales bacterium partial 16S ribosomal RNA". It matches the Rfam family "Bacterial small subunit ribosomal RNA", at positions 524 to 776 of the family's 1533-position model. The record is from RNAcentral. Lineage: Bacteria; Bacillati; Bacillota; Clostridia; Eubacteriales.